UGGCGGCAGGCCUAACACAUGCAAGUCGAGCGGUAGAGAGAAGCUUGCUUCUCUUGAGAGCGGCGGACGGGUGAGUAAUGCCUAGGAAUCUGCCUGGUAGUGGGGGAUAACGUUCGGAAACGGACGCUAAUACCGCAUACGUCCUACGGGAGAAGCAGGGGACCUUCGGGCCUUGCGCUAUCAGAUGAGCCUAGGUCGGAUUAGCUAGUUGGUGGGGUAAUGGCUCACCAAGGCGACGAUCCGUAACUGGUCUGAGAGGAUGAUCAGUCACACUGGAACUGAGACACGGUCCAGACUCCUACGGGAGGCAGCAGUGGGGAAUAUUGGACAAUGGGCGAAAGCCUGAUCCAGCCAUGCCGCGUGUGUGAAGAAGGUCUUCGGAUUGUAAAGCACUUUAAGUUGGGAGGAAGGGUUGUAGAUUAAUACUCUGCAAUUUUUACGUUACCGGCAGAAUAAGCACCGGAUAACUCUGUGCCAGCAGCCGCGGUAAUACAGAGGGUGCAAGCGUUAAUCGGAAUUACUGGGCGUAAAGCGCGCGUAGGUGGUUUGUUAAGUUGGAUGUGAAAUCCCCGGGCUCAACCUGGGAACUGCAUUCAAAACUGACUGACUAGAGUAUGGUAGAGGGUGGUGGAAUUUCCUGUGUAGCGGUGAAAUGCGUAGAUAUAGGAAGGAACACCAGUGGCGAAGGCGACCACCUGGACUGAUACUGACACUGAGGUGCGAAAGCGUGGGGAGCAAACAGGAUUAGAUACCCUGGUAGUCCACGCCGUAAACGAUGUCAACUAGCCGUUGGGAGCCUUGAGCUCUUAGUGGCGCAGCUAACGCAUUAAGUUGACCG
Molecule: ribosomal RNA, 838 nt
Filed under: Pseudomonas synxantha
Lineage: Bacteria; Pseudomonadati; Pseudomonadota; Gammaproteobacteria; Pseudomonadales; Pseudomonadaceae
Description: bacterial SSU rRNA
Rfam family: Bacterial small subunit ribosomal RNA
Source: RNAcentral